Molecule: long non-coding RNA, 340 nt
Organism: Zalophus californianus (California sea lion)
Lineage: Eukaryota; Metazoa; Chordata; Mammalia; Carnivora; Otariidae
Exons: 2
Source: RefSeq, a predicted model, not a curated record
CUCGGGGGCGUGCCUGCGGCGACGGGGCGGAGCCGGUGUCCGCCUAGUCUCACAACGUCAACAAAGCGCUUAACGGCUGUCGGAGAAUCCUGAGCCGGUGACUCCACGACGCUGCAUGACUAAGUUAAUGGGACCUCGCUUGUUCCUUCGGACUGAAAGAAACUCAAGCUUUUCCCUUCUCCAUCACCACUGUGUAUGAACAAAUGGAAGAAUAAAGUGACUACAAGAAGAACAGCCUUAUCUGCACCUCCAGAGAUGACUGGAACACAGGGAUUGAAGAAAAUGCUUGUUUCCACUGCAUUUAUUACUAAUAUAAAAAAAUGUUAAAAAGAAAAAAAAA